UACGUAGGGGGCAAGCGUUGUCCGGAUUUAUUGGGCGUAAAGAGCGUGUAGGCGGUCUGGUAGGUCCGUUGUGAAAACUCGAGGCUCAACCUCGAGACGCCGAUGGAAACCAUCAGACUAGAGUCCGGAAGAGGAGAGUGGAAUUCCUGGUGUAGCGGUGAAAUGCGCAGAUAUCAGGAGGAACACCAAUGGCGAAGGCAGCUCGCUGGGACGGUACUGACACUGAGACGCGAAAGCGUGGGGAGCAAACAGG
This 253-nucleotide ribosomal RNA is filed under the name uncultured bacterium. Its description in RNAcentral is "partial 16S ribosomal RNA". It matches the Rfam family "Bacterial small subunit ribosomal RNA", at positions 524 to 776 of the family's 1533-position model. The record is from RNAcentral.